UACGAAGGGGGCUAGCGUUGUUCGGAAUUACGUGGGACGUAAAGCGCACGGUAGCGGAUCGAUCAGUCAGGGGUGAAAUCCCAGAGCUCAACUCUGGAACUGCCUUUGAUACUGUCGAUCUAGAGUAUGGAAGAGGUGAGUGGAAUUCCGAGUGUAGAGGUGAAAUUCGUAGAUAUUCGGAGGAACACCAGUGGCGAAGGCGGCUCACUGGUCCAUUACUGGACGCUGAGGUGGCGAAAAGCGGUGGGGAGCAAACAGG
RNAcentral lists this ribosomal RNA (259 nucleotides) under uncultured bacterium. RNAcentral describes it as "partial 16S ribosomal RNA". It matches the Rfam family "Bacterial small subunit ribosomal RNA", at positions 524 to 776 of the family's 1533-position model. The record is from RNAcentral.